Molecule: long non-coding RNA, 721 nt
Organism: Cyprinus carpio carpio
Lineage: Eukaryota; Metazoa; Chordata; Actinopteri; Cypriniformes; Cyprinidae
Source: Ensembl
CAUCUCUAGCAUUCCCAUUAAUCUCUCUGGCAUUGUCUUGGCUGCAAGAAACCCCGGAAUGCUAACGGAAGGUUUUCUCCAGCCCCUUAAAAUAAGGCUGAAUGUAAAGGCCAACAGACAUAAGUGAAUAUUCCAUAAAUCACUUCUUGUGCGGGCAACCUGAAUACAGUUUGGUGAUGAUUCUACAUCCAGCUUUCAUCCAUGAGAUUUGGUUGCUGAAACGUGGCAAAUAUCCAUUCACUGGCUUCCUUGCUAUUAUAUUUGAGCUGCACGUCUGUGAUCAGGUUUCUACGUGUGGGUUUGGUGCAGAAACUAGUACCACUACUUCGACAAAAAAAAACCUCAAAUAAGGUUCAUACCGGCGCUGAUAGCGGCAGCUUUUCAAGGUAUUGAAAUUUGACGUGCAAUGCUUUUGGAAAUCCUACGAGGUCUGCGUCAUUAUGAAAGCCCUUACCUCACUCUUAUACAUUCUACAAGUGCUGCUGCUAGAAGUCAGUGGGGAGCAGAAACUCUAUGGUUACCAACGUUCUUCAAAAUAACAGAAGAAAGAAAUUCAUACAGGUUUGGCACAACUUCAGGGUGAGAAAAUUAAGAUAGAAUUUUUAUUUUUGGGUGAACUGUCCUUUUAAUUAUACUGUAUCUCGCUGCCUCAAGUGCAAAACUGCUGAUCAAUAUGAUGUACAUAGACGUGAAUUUAAAAGUGCAGAAAAUGAAUAAAAAU